AGAGUUUGAUCCUGGCUCAGGAUGAAUGCUAGCGGCGUGCUUGAGAUAUGCAAGUCGAGCGCCCCAUUUGACCGCAAGGUUGAAUGGGAGCGGCGGACGGCUGAGUAAUAUGCAGGAACCUACCCCUAGGUAGAGGAUAGCCCCGGGAAACCGGGGGUAAUACUUUAUGGUAUCACGAUUUUAUCGCGAUUAAAGAGCUUAACCGCUCGCCAAGGGAUGGGCCUGUAUCCUAUCAGGUAGUUGGUAAGGUAACGGCUUACCAAGCCUAUGACGGGUAGCUGAUCUUAGAGGAUGAUCAGCCAGAGGGGGACUGAGACACGGCCCCCACUCCUACGGGAGGCAGCAAUCAGGAAUAGUCGGCAAUGGACGAAAGUCUGACCGCGCGACGCCGCGUGUAGGAAUAAGCUUUUCGGAGUGUAAACUACUGUGGUAGGGGAAGAAGUCCCAUCGUAAGAUGGGAUUGACGGUACCCUAUUAGAAAGGGGCCGCUAACUGCGUGCCAGAAGCGUCGGUAAUACGUGGGCUCCAAGCAUUAUCCGGUUUUAUUGGGCGUAAAGGGUCGUGUAGGCGGUUUGAUAAGUUAUCUUUGAAAUUCCAAUGCUCAACAUUGGAAUUGGAGAUAAAACUAUCUAACUAGAGUUUUCUUCAGGGGGAUUGGAACUCAAGGAGGAGUAGUGAAAUGCGUUGAUACCUUGAGGAACACCAAUGGCGAAGGCAGAUCCCUGGGAGAUAACUGACGCUGAGACACGAAAGCUAGGGGAGCGAAGCAGAUUAGAGACCUGCGUAGUCCUAGCCCUAAACGAAUGUCUGCUACCUGCAUGUUUUACCUUCGGGUAUAACGUGUGGGAAAGGUAACCCGUUAAGCAGACCGCCUGGGGAGUACGACCGCAAGGUUAAAACUCAAAGGAAUUGACGGG
This 917-nucleotide ribosomal RNA is filed under the name uncultured bacterium. RNAcentral's name for it is "bacterial SSU rRNA". It matches the Rfam family "Bacterial small subunit ribosomal RNA", at positions 8 to 917 of the family's 1533-position model. The record is from RNAcentral.